UACGGAGGUGGCAAGCGUUGCUCGGAAUCACUGGGCGUAAAGGGCGCGUAGGCGGGGAGGUAAGUCGGGUGUGAAAUCCCUCGGCCCAACUGAGGAACUGCGCCCGAGACUGCUUCUCUUGAGUCCCGGAGAGGAAGAUGGAAUUCCCGGUGUAGCGGUGAAAUGUGUAGAGAUCGGGAGGAACACCGGUGGCGAAGGCGGUCUUCUGGACGGUGACUGACGCUGAGGCGCGAAAGCGUGGGGGGCAAACAGG
RNAcentral lists this ribosomal RNA (253 nucleotides) under uncultured bacterium. RNAcentral's name for it is "partial 16S ribosomal RNA". It matches the Rfam family "Bacterial small subunit ribosomal RNA", at positions 524 to 776 of the family's 1533-position model. The record is from RNAcentral.